RNAcentral lists this ribosomal RNA (253 nucleotides) under uncultured Paracoccaceae bacterium. RNAcentral's name for it is "uncultured Rhodobacteraceae bacterium partial 16S ribosomal RNA". It matches the Rfam family "Bacterial small subunit ribosomal RNA", at positions 524 to 776 of the family's 1533-position model. Lineage: Bacteria; Pseudomonadati; Pseudomonadota; Alphaproteobacteria; Rhodobacterales; Paracoccaceae. The record is from RNAcentral.
UACGAAGGGUGCAAGCGUUAAUCGGAAUUACUGGGCGUAAAGCGCACGUAGGCGGACCAGAAAGUUGGGGGUGAAAUCCCGGGGCUCAACCUCGGAACUGCCUUCUAAACUCCUGGUCUUGAGUUCGAGAGAGGUGAGUGGAAUUCCGAGUGUAGAGGUGAAAUUCGUAGAUAUUCGGAGGAACACCAGUGGCGAAGGCGGCUCACUGGCUCGAUACUGACGCUGAGGUGCGAAAGCGUGGGGAGCAAACAGG